Biomphalaria pfeifferi is the source of this 356-nucleotide non-coding RNA. The record is from the annotation of a GenBank genome assembly. Lineage: Eukaryota; Metazoa; Mollusca; Gastropoda; Planorbidae.
GAUGUUGUAAAUGUUUCAACAACUUACCAGCCCCUUGAAGCACUGGACAUUGUACAUCAUCCAUCAUGUGAAUAGUUCAUCCGAAUGACCUUAGUUCAUUUCGUUGAUAACUUGAUGUAAAUAAUUCAUCCAAGUUGACAUCUCUGACAUGAACGGGAUGUUAGGGCUAGACUUUUAUUAAAAGCAUUUUCAUAUUUAACAAAUAGUUAAAUGUCAUUGAAACAUUUUACACAAACUGCUGAGAAUGACAAGAUAUUUUGACAAUAAUUUGUCUGUCUCAUAAUUUUUACUUAAUUUUAUAGGUCUAUUAUCACUCUCUCUCUCUCUCUCUCUCUCUCUCUCUCUCUCUCUCUCUC